GACGAACGCUGGCGGCGUGCUUAACACAUGCAAGUCGAACGGAAAGGCCCUGCUUUUGUGGGGUGCUCGAGUGGCGAACGGGUGAGUAACACGUGAGUAACCUGCCCUUGACUUUGGGAUAACUUCAGGAAACUGGGGCUAAUACCGGAUAGGAGCUCCUGCUGCAUGGUGGGGGUUGGAAAGUUUGGGCGGUUGGGGAUGGACUCGCGGCUUAUCAGCUUGUUGGUGGGGGAGUGGCUUACCAAGGCUUUGACGGGUAGCCGGCCUGAGAGGGUGACCGGCCACAUGGGGACUGAGAUACGGCCCAGAGGCCUACGGGAGGCAGCAGUGGGGAAUAUUGCACAAUGGGCGGAAGCCUGAUGCAGCAACGCCGCGUGUGGGAUGACGGCCUUCGGGUUGUAAACCGCUUUCGCCUGUGACGAAGCGUGAGUGACGGUAAUGGGUAAAGAAGCACCGGCUAACUACGUG
RNAcentral lists this ribosomal RNA (468 nucleotides) under uncultured bacterium. RNAcentral describes it as "partial 16S ribosomal RNA". It matches the Rfam family "Bacterial small subunit ribosomal RNA", at positions 28 to 507 of the family's 1533-position model. The record is from RNAcentral.